RNAcentral lists this unclassified non-coding RNA (374 nucleotides) under Hevea brasiliensis (rubber tree). The record is from RNAcentral. Lineage: Eukaryota; Viridiplantae; Streptophyta; Magnoliopsida; Malpighiales; Euphorbiaceae.
AGGCAUCACUCUACCUUCAUGCAGGUCUUGAUUGGCUGUUUUACCGGCAUUGAAUAUGCUGAGGUAUGGUAAUGAAUUGUGAAAUUCUGCAGUGAGCUGUGAAAUUUUGAGUCUUUACGAGGAAUCUAUACCUCUACAAGGUGCCAGAAAUAAUACUGUAGUUUGUCAUGCUGUUGUUGCAUAUGGCACAAAUGAUAUAUGCUUUGAGAAGCCCUGUAUGCCUCACUUUUAUUGUCAUGAAUCAUCUGUGUAUACUGUAAUUUAAUGUUAGUUUUGGAAUAGAUAUUUUUUUCUAAUAGAAAAAUAUUGGAGUCCUUAAAUAUCAAACGAGAAACAUGAAAUUCUUGUUUAGAAAUUGCAUUUUACCUUCAUUU